This 468-nucleotide ribosomal RNA is filed under the name uncultured bacterium. RNAcentral's name for it is "partial 16S ribosomal RNA". It matches the Rfam family "Bacterial small subunit ribosomal RNA", at positions 28 to 507 of the family's 1533-position model. The record is from RNAcentral.
GACGAACGCUGGCGGCGUGCUUAACACAUGCAAGUCGAACGGAAAGGCCCUGCUUUUGUGGGGCGCUCGAGUGGCGAACGGGUGAGUAACACGUGAGUAACCUGCCCUUGACUUUGGGAUAACUUCAGGAAACUGGGGCUAUUACCGGGUAGGAGCUCCUGCUGCAUGGGGGGGGUUGGAAAGUUUCGGCGGUUGGGGAUGGACUCGCGGGUUAUGAGCUUGUUGGUGGGGUAGUGGCUUUCCAAGGGUUUGACGGCUAGCCGGCCUGGGAGGGUGAACGGGCACAAUGGGACUGAGAGACGGACCAGAAGCCUACGGGAGGCAGCAGGGGAGAAUCUUGCAGAGUGGGCGGAAGCCUGAUGCGGAAACGCUGCGUGCGGGAUGACGGCCUUCGGGGUGUAAACCGCUUUCGCCUGAGACGAAGCGUGAGUGACGGUAAUGGGUAAAGAAGCACCGGCUAACUACGUG